GACGAACGCUGGCGGCGUGCUUAACACAUGCAAGUCGAACGGAAAGGCCCUGCUUUUGUGGGUUGCUCGAGUGGCGAACGGGUGAGUAACACGUGAGUAACCUGCCCUUGACUUUGGGAUAACUUCAGGAAACUGGGGCUAAUACCGGAUAGGAGCUCCUGCUGCAUGGGGGUGGUUGGAAAGUUUCGGCGGUUGGGGAUGGACUCGCGGGUUAUCAGCUUGUUGGUGGGGUAGUGGCUUACCAGGGCUUUGACGGGUAGCCGGCCUGAGAGGGUGACCGGCCACCUUAGGCCUGAGAUACGGACCAGACUCCAACGGGAGGCAGCAGUGGAGAAUCUUGCACAAUGGGCGGAAGCCUGAUGCAGCAACGCCGCGUGCGGGAUGACGGCCUUCGGGUUGUAAACCGCUUUCGCCUGUGACGAAGAGUGAGUGACGGUAAUGGGUAAAGAAGCACCGGCUAACUACGUG
This 468-nucleotide ribosomal RNA is filed under the name uncultured bacterium. Its description in RNAcentral is "partial 16S ribosomal RNA". It matches the Rfam family "Bacterial small subunit ribosomal RNA", at positions 28 to 507 of the family's 1533-position model. The record is from RNAcentral.